AAACCGUUUUACUAUUAUGUUCAAAGUCUAAAAUCAAAAUGGAUGUAAGAAACAUGAGAAAAUAUGAUACACUUUUAUAGUAAUAAAAAGCCCAUGAGCUAGUUCUUUUCAUAAAAUAAAAAAUAAUCACAUAAUGAUAAACGAAGAUUAAUAAUAAAAUUAAAAAUUAAUUUACCUCAGUCUUCAGUUCUAUUCAAAUCAAUCUAUCACCCCCACAAGCCAUCCCCUGCACGUGCCAAAAAAGCACAUCACACGUGCCAAUAACUCCACCAAAAGUCCAAACUUUGAUUGAAAACGAAAAAAAAAAUAAUAAUAAUA
RNAcentral lists this unclassified non-coding RNA (318 nucleotides) under Hevea brasiliensis (rubber tree). The record is from RNAcentral. Lineage: Eukaryota; Viridiplantae; Streptophyta; Magnoliopsida; Malpighiales; Euphorbiaceae.